This 740-nucleotide long non-coding RNA is filed under the name Rattus norvegicus (Norway rat). RNAcentral describes it as "long non-coding RNA NONRATT017757". The record is from RNAcentral. Lineage: Eukaryota; Metazoa; Chordata; Mammalia; Rodentia; Muridae.
AAUUGAACACUUGCUAGUGCUUGCCUCCUGUGUCCAUCAGUGUUGGUGGCACUGUAGUUCCUUCGGGGGCAUUUACUGUGGCUCGUGUGAAAGGAGUCAACCACAAUUGGCAAUUAGAAGAGGGCAUUGGAUCUCCUGAAACUGGAGUUAUAGAUGGUUUUGAACCACCAUGUGGGUGCUGGGAAUUGAACCAGGGUCCUCUGCAACAGCAACAAGUGCUUUCAAAAAAUGUUGGCUCAUUUCUUCAGUCCCAGGAAAUGAUAGCUUUUUUUUUUUUUUUUUUGAAGAAUUAUCUAUUAUAUGUAUACGAGCACACUGUAGCUGUCUUCAGACACACCCUAAGGGGGCAUCGGAUCCCAUUACAGAUGGUUGUGAGCCACUACAUGGUUGCUGGGAAUUGAACUCAGGACCUCUGGAAGAGCAAGACAGUGCUCUUAACCACUGAGCCAUCUCUAACCCGAAACGAUAGCUUUAGCAAAUAAAAAUUUGUUUUCAGUUAGUGUCUGAAGUGGUGAUUAACGUUGCUGUAAUCAUGGGGGCGCGCAGCGGACCUGUCUCCCCUUUGCUUUACAGACAGGGAGGAGGAGGAAGUGAACAAACGAGACGACAAAAGGGACGUCAGCCGAUACUGCAAGGACAGACCCUCAAAGGACAAGGUGGGCUUUCCUCUGUCUGCUUGGGAUAAUGGCAUUCUUGAAUUCCAUACCUUAACACUUCCUUACCUUACACUUACUGCUAUG